GUCCUACGGGAGGCAGCAGUAGGGAAUCUUCCACAAUGGACGAAAGUCUGAUGGAGCAACGCCGCGUGAGUGAAGAAGGGUUUCGGCUCGUAAAGCUCUGUUGGUAGUGAAGAAAGAUAGAGGUAGUAACUGGCCUUUAUUUGACGGUAAUUACUUAGAAAGUCACGGCUAACUACGUGCCAGCAGCCGCGGUAAUACGUAGGUGGCAAGCGUUGUCCGGAUUUAUUGGGCGUAAAGGGUGCGUAGGCGGUUCAAUAAG
RNAcentral lists this ribosomal RNA (259 nucleotides) under uncultured bacterium. Its description in RNAcentral is "partial 16S ribosomal RNA". It matches the Rfam family "Bacterial small subunit ribosomal RNA", at positions 335 to 587 of the family's 1533-position model. The record is from RNAcentral.